Long non-coding RNA from Mus musculus (house mouse), 836 nucleotides. RefSeq annotates it as predicted gene, 46282. The transcript has 2 exons. The record is from RefSeq and is a predicted model, not a curated record. NCBI's taxonomy places the organism in Eukaryota, Metazoa, Chordata, Mammalia, Rodentia, Muridae.
CGUUGUUUUCUGGCAAGGAAGUAGAAGUUAGCCUAUCAGUACAUUGUUCAUCCCUUGAGUGAUAACCUAUUUCAGGAGUAUGGUGGCUUGGGUUGUGGUGCUGCAGCUGCUGGCUUGGGGUGAUGGUGAUCUGUAGAAACAAGGGGACUUCAGAAAGGGAGAAAGAAAGGGCCAGAGCUUGAAAGUCCAAUGGGAAAACGGGGAGCCUGGCUGAGUGCGCUCUGGAGCCGUGCUCUGGGUCUGUUUCCGCACUAUCGAUCCCUCACUAUCCACGAGACAAGAGUCAUUUCUAGGGCAUGAGACUGGGGCUUGGGAAUGGAGAGACUUAUUUUCUACUGCGCUCUUUUUGACUCUUUCUUGCUUGACUCUUUCACAUUUUCUCUAUUAUUUCAAUAAUUGCAAAUCAAAUUACAGGGUUUGGCUUUCAAAAAAAAUGCAAUGAAGGGUUUGGAUCAGACCAUUGGUUUUCAAGCUUUCUUUUAAGUCAGCAAAACACUUUCUGCACAAUCUUACAGGAAAGCCUAAUUAAUGUGUAACAGAGAGGAAGCGUCUCGGGCUGGCACGCCCCACCCCUCCUCCUGCCCUCAGCAUUCCCACACAGCUAUGGCACAGCUAGAAACACAACGGGUAGUAGCUAUUUCUUUCAGGCCUAUUUGCCUCUUCAACUCUGUGACUGCCCUGCACUCAUUGUGGAAGCUGCCGUGCUCCUGCCCUGAGGACUGGCUGCAGCCUCCCCGCUCCCCAGGCUCCUGUAUCUGCACACUUGGUCUUCAGCUGGUGGUGCCACUUGGGAAGGUUGGAGAUGGAGGCUCGCUGGAGGAAGUGCGUCACUGGGC